Molecule: ribosomal RNA, 2787 nt
Filed under: Escherichia coli
Lineage: Bacteria; Pseudomonadati; Pseudomonadota; Gammaproteobacteria; Enterobacterales; Enterobacteriaceae
Description: bacterial LSU rRNA
Rfam family: Bacterial large subunit ribosomal RNA
Source: RNAcentral
AGCGUACACGGUGGAUGCCCUGGCAGUCAGAGGCGAUGAAGGACGUGCUAAUCUGCGAUAAGCGUCGGUGAGGUGAUAUGAACCGUUAUAACCGGCGAUUUCCGAAUGGGGAAACCCAGUGUGUUUCGACACACUAUCAUUAACUGAAUCCAUAGGUUAAUGAGGCGAACCGGGGGAACUGAAACAUCUAAGUACCCCGAGGAAAAGAAAUCAACCGAGAUUCCCCCAGUAGCGGCGAGCGAACGGGGAGGAGCCCAGAGCCUGAAUCAGUGUGUGUGUUAGUGGAAGCGUCUGGAAAGGCGUGCGAUACAGGGUGACAGCCCCGUACACAAAAAUGCACAUAUUGUGAGCUCGAUGAGUAGGGCGGGACACGUGGUAUCCUGUCUGAAUAUGGGGGGACCAUCCUCCAAGGCUAAAUACUCCUGACUGACCGAUAGUGAACCAGUACCGUGAGGGAAAGGCGAAAAGAACCCCGGCGAGGGGAGUGAAAAAGAACCUGAAACCGUGUACGUACAAGCAGUGGGAGCCUCUUAAUGGGGUGACUGCGUACCUUUUGUAUAAUGGGUCAGCGACUUAUAUUCUGUAGCAAGGUUAACCGAAUAGGGGAGCCGAAGGGAAACCGAGUCUUAACUGGGCGUUAAGUUGCAGGGUAUAGACCCGAAACCCGGUGAUCUAGCCAUGGGCAGGUUGAAGGUUGGGUAACACUAACUGGAGGACCGAACCGACUAAUGUUGAAAAAUUAGCGGAUGACUUGUGGCUGGGGGUGAAAGGCCAAUCAAACCGGGAGAUAGCUGGUUCUCCCCGAAAGCUAUUUAGGUAGCGCCUCGUGAAUUCAUCUCCGGGGGUAGAGCACUGUUUCGGCAAGGGGGUCAUCCCGACUUACCAACCCGAUGCAAACUGCGAAUACCGGAGAAUGUUAUCACGGGAGACACACGGCGGGUGCUAACGUCCGUCGUGAAGAGGGAAACAACCCAGACCGCCAGCUAAGGUCCCAAAGUCAUGGUUAAGUGGGAAACGAUGUGGGAAGGCCCAGACAGCCAGGAUGUUGGCUUAGAAGCAGCCAUCAUUUAAAGAAAGCGUAAUAGCUCACUGGUCGAGUCGGCCUGCGCGGAAGAUGUAACGGGGCUAAACCAUGCACCGAAGCUGCGGCAGCGACACUAUGUGUUGUUGGGUAGGGGAGCGUUCUGUAAGCCUGUGAAGGUGUGCUGUGAGGCAUGCUGGAGGUAUCAGAAGUGCGAAUGCUGACAUAAGUAACGAUAAAGCGGGUGAAAAGCCCGCUCGCCGGAAGACCAAGGGUUCCUGUCCAACGUUAAUCGGGGCAGGGUGAGUCGACCCCUAAGGCGAGGCCGAAAGGCGUAGUCGAUGGGAAACAGGUUAAUAUUCCUGUACUUGGUGUUACUGCGAAGGGGGGACGGAGAAGGCUAUGUUGGCCGGGCGACGGUUGUCCCGGUUUAAGCGUGUAGGCUGGUUUUCCAGGCAAAUCCGGAAAACCAAGGCUGAGGCGUGAUGACGAGGCACUACGGUGCUGAAGUGACAAAUGCCCUGCUUCCAGGAAAAGCCUCUAAGCAUCAGGUAACAUCAAAUCGUACCCCAAACCGACACAGGUGGUCAGGUAGAGAAUACCAAGGCGCUUGAGAGAACUCGGGUGAAGGAACUAGGCAAAAUGGUGCCGUAACUUCGGGAGAAGGCACGCUGAUAUGUAGGUGAAGCGACUUGCUCGUGGAGCUGAAAUCAGUCGAAGAUACCAGCUGGCUGCAACUGUUUAUUAAAAACACAGCACUGUGCAAACACGAAAGUGGACGUAUACGGUGUGACGCCUGCCCGGUGCCGGAAGGUUAAUUGAUGGGGUUAGCGGCAACGCGAAGCUCUUGAUCGAAGCCCCGGUAAACGGCGGCCGUAACUAUAACGGUCCUAAGGUAGCGAAAUUCCUUGUCGGGUAAGUUCCGACCUGCACGAAUGGCGUAAUGAUGGCCAGGCUGUCUCCACCCGAGACUCAGUGAAAUUGAACUCGCUGUGAAGAUGCAGUGUACCCGCGGCAAGACGGAAAGACCCCGUGAACCUUUACUAUAGCUUGACACUGAACAUUGAGCCUUGAUGUGUAGGAUAGGUGGGAGGCUUUGAAGUGUGGACGCCAGUCUGCAUGGAGCCGACCUUGAAAUACCACCCUUUAAUGUUUGAUGUUCUAACGUUGGCCCCUGAUCGGGGUUGCGGACAGUGUCUGGUGGGUAGUUUGACUGGGGCGGUCUCCUCCUAAAGAGUAACGGAGGAGCACGAAGGUUGGCUAAUCCUGGUCGGACAUCAGGAGGUUAGUGCAAUGGCAUAAGCCAGCUUGACUGCGAGCGUGACGGCGCGAGCAGGUGCGAAAGCAGGUCAUAGUGAUCCGGUGGUUCUGAAUGGAAGGGCCAUCGCUCAACGGAUAAAAGGUACUCCGGGGAUAACAGGCUGAUACCGCCCAAGAGUUCAUAUCGACGGCGGUGUUUGGCACCUCGAUGUCGGCUCAUCACAUCCUGGGGCUGAAGUAGGUCCCAAGGGUAUGGCUGUUCGCCAUUUAAAGUGGUACGCGAGCUGGGUUUAGAACGUCGUGAGACAGUUCGGUCCCUAUCUGCCGUGGGCGCUGGAGAACUGAGGGGGGCUGCUCCUAGUACGAGAGGACCGGAGUGGACGCAUCACUGGUGUUCGGGUUGUCAUGCCAAUGGCACUGCCCGGUAGCUAAAUGCGGAAGAGAUAAGUGCUGAAAGCAUCUAAGCACGAAACUUGCCCCGAGAUGAGUUCUCCCUGACUCCUUGA